Long non-coding RNA from Eriocheir sinensis (Chinese mitten crab), 1238 nucleotides. RefSeq lists it as uncharacterized. Lineage: Eukaryota; Metazoa; Arthropoda; Malacostraca; Decapoda; Varunidae. The record is from RefSeq and is a predicted model, not a curated record. The transcript has 4 exons.
UGGGAACGUCUGAACACACAGGAGGGCAUUUUUAUGUACGAGUAUGUGUAUGGGAGGGGAGGACCUAAGAUGGGCAUUAAAGUUAAAAAUAGAAACAGCUUGCUAAUUUUCUUUAUGGGUUCAACUAACACUUUCGAAUCGGUGCUCGACCCAGGCCUGGAGCACCGCUUCACGAGGAAGUAAAUCUUCAUUACCGACGAGACGAGCGGCGAGGCGGCACCGCGGCUCCAGGCGGGGCGGCGGCUCCUCCGACACCCGCGUCAUGCCCUUCAGCUUCCAGCAGCAGACGAGCGGCUGAACAGACACUCCCCGGGAUGACUGAACGACAGCCAGGCUGGACUGAAUGAUCCAGCAGUUGCUGCAGUUUCUGGCCCGCCUUCCCACGCCUGCAGCCAACGCCCCAGACAACAACACCAGUGACAGCAGGAGGCAUUAGGCGGGAAAGUCUCGGUUACCGAUGACAUUCAGAAACAGCAGCAUCCACCUCGUCUGGUCUGCCCACGCGGGAUGGAAGCUCUGAAAAAUGAAGAAAGGAAGGAAGGAAGGAAGAUAAUCUCAGAAGACUCAUACAGUCCAUUACACGUCCUUCAUGUUAUGUUAUUACAUUCCUGUACUCCCAACGCCCGGCCCGGGGGUCCAGCCGCAAUACUCACAAGGUCCAGAUGCAGACUGCGGCCACCACUUGAGCAGCCCGGCUGCUGUACGCCAAUCCUUAUUUAGUUGUGUUCUUGUAGAGUUAAAUCCAGACAUCCCAUAUCCUUAGGCCAGGUCAAAAGUAAAGUUUGGUGUGCAUGGCCUCAGUGUUCAUCUCUGUUACACUGCCCCUGGAGGCUGUGGGGGCAGGAAUCCAGCACCCCAGGACACAGGGAGACACUCAGACUACCACAGGUGCCUCCCCAGGGGUCUCCAGGUACACUUGAUCACCCAGACACAAAGGAUGACCUGCAUACUGACUGCCCAGGCCGGGAUUCAAACCCUGGCCAGCGGAUUGGUAGGUAGGCAUGCCAGCCACAGCACCAUGGAGCCAUGCAUUAUACUAGUACUUGGCACUGGUAUCCUAUGCUAUUUAUUCCUGGCUAGUUGGACACCAGAGAUUUCCUGUAUUAAUUUCAUGGGUUUUCUGUUAUAUAUUUGUUUAUUAGGUGUAUCUUUUUAUUUAGCUUCAUCAUGAUUUUUAUUGUUAUUUAGUGAAGCAGCUCAAGGGUGAAUGUAAUACAAAACACAAUUUGCAAAUUGAU